UAGAAUCAGUGCUCAGCUGAGGCGCAACCCACACUGGCGGCAUUUUGGCAUUGCGAGGACCUCCUGAGGGGCCAGAGCUGGACCAUUUUCACAGAUGAAACUCAGCCAAGCUGUUUAAUGCUUCCUUCGUAUGUUUGGAAAAGUAAUAAAAGAGUCUUGGUCUGUAACCAGGACUGAAGUGCACAGCUGAUUGCAACCUUGAACUCCUGGCCUCAAGUGAUCCUCCUGCCUUGGUCACCCAAAGUGCUUGGAUUAGAGGUAUGAGCCACCAUGCCUAGCUCUCCUGUAUUUUUUACAAUUAGCCCUUAUAUAGUGUUUACUAUGUGCCAAGAACUGUACUAAGUGCUUCACAUAUUUAACUUAUUCAAUUAUUACAGCAAUCUUGUUAGGGUAGCAUUAUUAUUAUCCCUCUUUUAUAUAUGAGGAAACUGAGGUACAGAGGGAUCAAGUAAAUGCCCAAGGCCUCAUAGCUGAAACCCUAAGCGAACAUUUUCAGAGUUCAUGAGGUACUUCAGGAAAGGGGUGGAGGAAUCCAAA
Molecule: long non-coding RNA, 537 nt
Filed under: Homo sapiens (human)
Lineage: Eukaryota; Metazoa; Chordata; Mammalia; Primates; Hominidae
Description: HSALNT0351025
Source: RNAcentral